This 451-nucleotide ribosomal RNA is filed under the name uncultured bacterium. Its description in RNAcentral is "bacterial SSU rRNA". It matches the Rfam family "Bacterial small subunit ribosomal RNA", at positions 29 to 507 of the family's 1533-position model. The record is from RNAcentral.
AAUGAACGUUGGCGGCGUGGAUUAGGCAUGCAAGUCGAGCGAGAACCUUUUGAGCUUGCUUAGAAGGGGACAGCGGCGGACGGGAGAGUAACGCGUGGACUACCUACCUUUGGGUUUGGGAUAGCCGUGGGAAACCGCGGAUAAUACCAAAUAACAUCUCCGGAUCAAAGCUCCGGCGCCCAAAGACGGGUCCGCGUCCUAUUAGCUUGUUGGUAAGGUAACGGCUUACCAAGGCUACGAUGGGUACCGGGUGUGAGAGCAUGACCCGGCUCACUGGGACUGAGACACUGCCCAGACACCUACGGGUGGCUGCAGUCGAGAAUCUUCGGCAAUGGACGAAAGUCUGACCGAGCGACGCCGCGUGCGGGAUGAAGGCCUUCGGGUUGUAAACCGCUGUCAGAGGGGAUGAAAUUUUGACAUAUCCUCAGAGGAAGGACGGGCUAAGUUCGUG